CGAAGCGUAGCUAAAUUAGUAAAGUGUCUCUUUUACACGGAGCUGAUGUUUGUGCAAUUCAAACUGCUUCGA
Molecule: transfer RNA, 72 nt
Filed under: Stichopus chloronotus
Lineage: Eukaryota; Metazoa; Echinodermata; Holothuroidea; Aspidochirotida; Stichopodidae
Description: tRNA-Val
Rfam family: tRNA
About the family: Transfer RNA (tRNA) molecules are approximately 80 nucleotides in length.
Source: RNAcentral